AUUGAACGCUGGCGGCCGGCCUAACACAUGCAAGUCGAGCGAGCGGCGGACGGGUGAGUAAUGCAUGGGGAUCUGCCCGAUAGGGAGGGAUGACUACUGGACGCGUUAGCUAAUACCGCGUGCUAGCCGCUGACCCCAUGUGGGAUUAGCUCGUGGGUGAGGUAAUGGCCCACCUAGGCGACGAUCCCUAUAUGGGCUGAGAGGAUGAUCAGCCACACUGGGACUGAGACACGGCCCAGACUCCUACGGGAGGCAGCAGUGGGGAAGAUUGCACAAUGGGCGAAAGCCUGAUGCAGCAAUGCCGCGUGGAUGAAGAAGGACUUAGGGUUGUAAACUACUGGUAGUCGCGAGGCGUUACCGACCGAAGAAGCCCCGGCCAACUCCGUGCCAGCAGCCGCGGUAAUUC
RNAcentral lists this ribosomal RNA (406 nucleotides) under uncultured bacterium. RNAcentral's name for it is "partial 16S ribosomal RNA". It matches the Rfam family "Bacterial small subunit ribosomal RNA", at positions 29 to 526 of the family's 1533-position model. The record is from RNAcentral.